AUUGAACGCUGGCGUCAGGCCUAACACAUGCAAGUCGAACGAGUGGCGGACGGGUGAGUAAUGUCUGGGAAACUGCCUGAUGGAGGGGGAUAACUACUGGAAACGGUAGCUAAUCCCGCCUACCAUCAGAUGUGCACAGAUGGGAUUAGCUUGUUGGGGGGGUAACGGCUCACCAAGGCUACGAUCCCUAGCUGGUCUGAGAGGAUGACCAGCCACACGGGAACGACGAAACGGUCAAGAAUCCUACGGUAGGCAGCAGGGGGGAAUAUGGCACAAUGGGCGCAAGCCUGAUGCAGCCAUGCCGCGUGUAUGAAGAAGGCCUUCGGGUUGUAAAGUACUUUCAGCGGGGAGGCGUUACCCGCAGAAGAAGCACCGGCUAACUCCGUGCCAGCAGCCGCGGUAAUAC
Molecule: ribosomal RNA, 406 nt
Filed under: uncultured bacterium
Lineage: Bacteria
Description: partial 16S ribosomal RNA
Rfam family: Bacterial small subunit ribosomal RNA
Source: RNAcentral